GCUUUUAGUUCAGUGGUAGAAUGCUCGCCUGCCACGCGGGCGCCUCGGGUUCGAUUCCCGGCCGAUGCU
This 69-nucleotide transfer RNA is filed under the name Cordylochernes scorpioides. RNAcentral describes it as "tRNA-Gly". The stretch from base 6 to 61 matches the Rfam family "tRNA", at positions 8 to 63 of the family's 71-position model. From Rfam's summary of the family: Transfer RNA (tRNA) molecules are approximately 80 nucleotides in length. The record is from RNAcentral. Lineage: Eukaryota; Metazoa; Arthropoda; Arachnida; Pseudoscorpiones; Chernetidae.